AUCGUUCCGUUUUGACUCACCGAGUUGCCUCUUCAAGCUCUCUUCUCACUUCUCAUGGCUUAAGGUAAACAAAACUUACCACACUUUUCUUUCCCCAUUUAAAUCCCUUCAUUAACACCAUCAUUUCCUUGAUUAUCUCACACCCUCUGAUUCGUUUACCCCACUGUUCAUUAAUCCUAGCUCAUGUAAUCAAAAUUCCAUAUUUUUUCCUCUCUCUUUCUUGGAUCAUACUCUGCUGAUGUUGUAAUCUUGGGGUUUUCAAGCUUAUCAUU
This 272-nucleotide long non-coding RNA is filed under the name Arachis ipaensis. RNAcentral's name for it is "long non-coding RNA (AIPA_LNC000123)". Lineage: Eukaryota; Viridiplantae; Streptophyta; Magnoliopsida; Fabales; Fabaceae. The record is from RNAcentral.